AUUCAGCUGAUAAAUCCCAAAUAGGACGGAACACGCGUCAAACUGGAU
RNAcentral lists this non-coding RNA (48 nucleotides) under Schistosoma mansoni. The record is from RNAcentral. Lineage: Eukaryota; Metazoa; Platyhelminthes; Trematoda; Strigeidida; Schistosomatidae.